UGAGCUACGUGCCUGACUUCUCGGACACCA
This 30-nucleotide non-coding RNA is filed under the name Macaca fascicularis (crab-eating macaque). RNAcentral also lists the same sequence under 1 other name. The record is from RNAcentral. Lineage: Eukaryota; Metazoa; Chordata; Mammalia; Primates; Cercopithecidae.